GUGGGGAAUCUUAGACAAUGGGCGCAAGCCUGAUCUAGCCAUGCCGCGUGAGCGAUGAAGGCCUUAGGGUUGUAAAGCUCUUUCGUGGGGGAAGAUAAUGACUGUACCCCAAGAAGAAGCCCCGGCUAACUCCGUGCCAGCAGCCGCGGUAAUACGGAGGGGGCUAGCGUUGUUCGGAAUUACUGGGCGUAAAGCGCACGUAGGCGGACUGGAAAGUCAGGUGUGAAAUCCCGGGGCUCAACCCCGGAACUGCCUUUGAAACUCCCAGUCUUGAGUUCGAGAGAGGUGAGUGGAAUUCCGAGUGUAGAGGUGAAAUUCGUAGAUACUCGGAGGAACACCAGUGGCGAAGGCGGCUCACUGGCUCGAUACUGACGCUGAGGUGCGAAAGCGUGGGGAGCAAACAGGAUUAGAAACCCCUGUAGUCC
RNAcentral lists this ribosomal RNA (425 nucleotides) under uncultured bacterium. Its description in RNAcentral is "partial 16S ribosomal RNA". It matches the Rfam family "Bacterial small subunit ribosomal RNA", at positions 354 to 796 of the family's 1533-position model. The record is from RNAcentral.